GACGAACGCUGGCGGCGUGCUUAACACAUGCAAGUCGAACGGAAAGGCCCUGCUUUUGUGGGGUGCUCGAGUGGCGAACGGGUGAGUAACACGUGAGUAACCUGCCCUUGACUUUGGGAUAACUUCAGGAAACUGGGGCUAAUACCGGAUAGGAGCUCCUGCUGCAUGGUGGGGGUUGGAAAGUUUCGGCGGUUGGGGAUGGACUCGCGGCUUAUCAGCUUGUUGGUGGGGUAGUGGCUUACCAAGGCUUUGACGGGUAGCCGGCCUGAGAGGGUGACCGGCCACAUUGGGACUGAGAUACGGCCCAGACUCCUACGGGAGGCAGCAGUGGGGAAUAUUGCACAAUGGGCGGAAGCCUGAUGCAGCAACGCCGCGUGCGGGAUGACGGCCUUCGGGUUGUAAACCGCUUUCGCCUGUGACGAAGCGUGAGUGACGGUAAUGGGUAAAGAAGCACCGGCUAACUACGUGCCAGCAGCCGCGGUGAUACGUAGGGUGCGAGCGUUGUCCGGAUUUAUUGGGCGUAAAGGGCUCGUAGGUGGUUGAUCGCGUCGGAAGUGUAAUCUUGGGGCUUAACCCUGAGCGUGCUUUCGAUACGGGUUGACUUGAGGAAGGUAGGGGAGAAUGGAAUUCCUGGUGGAGCGGUGGAAUGCGCAGAUAUCAGGAGGAACACCAGUGGCGAAGGCGGUUCUCUGGGCCUCUCCUGACGCUGAGGAGCGAAAGCGUGGGGAGCGAACAGGCUUAGAUACCCUGGUAGUCCACGCUGUAAACGGUGGGUACUAGGUGUGGGGUCCAUUCCACGGGUUCCGUGCCGUAGCUAACGCUUUAAGUACCCCGCCUGGGGAGUACGGCCGCAAGGCUAAAACUCAAAGGAAUUGACGGGGCCCCGCACAAGCGGCGGAGCAUGCGGAUUAAUUCGAUGCAACGCGUAGAACCUUACCUGGGUUUGACAUGGAUCGGGAGUGCUCAGAGAUGGGUGUGCCUCUUUUGGGGUCGGUUCACAGGUGGUGCAUGGCUGUCGUCAGCUCGUGUCGUGAGAUGUUGGGUUAAGUCCCGCAACGAGCGCAACCCUUGUUCACUGUUGCCAGCACGUUAUGGUGGGGACUCAGUGGAGACCGCCGGGGUCAACUCGGAGGAAGGUGGGGAUGACGUCAAGUCAUCAUGCCCCUUAUGUCCAGGGCUUCACGCAUGCUACAAUGGCUGGUACAGAGAGUGGCGAGCCUGUGAGGGUGAGCGAAUCUCGGAAAGUCGGUCUCAGUUCGGAUUGGGGUCUGCAACUCGACCUCAUGAAGUCGGAGUCGCUAGUAAUCGCAGAUCAGCAACGCUGCGGUGAAUACGUUCCCGGGGCU
Molecule: ribosomal RNA, 1346 nt
Filed under: uncultured bacterium
Lineage: Bacteria
Description: partial 16S ribosomal RNA
Rfam family: Bacterial small subunit ribosomal RNA
Source: RNAcentral